RNAcentral lists this unclassified non-coding RNA (149 nucleotides) under uncultured Cladosporium. RNAcentral's name for it is "sequence contains ITS2". The record is from RNAcentral. Lineage: Eukaryota; Fungi; Ascomycota; Dothideomycetes; Cladosporiales; Cladosporiaceae.
AAUCCACUCAAGCCUGGCUUGGUGUUGGGCAACGCGGUCCGCCGCGUGCCUCAAAUCGACCGGCUGGGUCUUCUGUCCCCUAAGCGUUGUGGAAACUAUUCGCUAAAGGGUGCUCGGGAGGCUACGCCGUAAAACAAACCCAUUUCUAA